RNAcentral lists this long non-coding RNA (1258 nucleotides) under Lathyrus oleraceus (garden pea). RNAcentral's name for it is "Pisum sativum (pea) long non-coding RNA (PSAT_LNC032217)". The record is from RNAcentral. Lineage: Eukaryota; Viridiplantae; Streptophyta; Magnoliopsida; Fabales; Fabaceae.
AUCAAAGAUAUCACCAAAAUUGAUAAGUAAGAUAGCGUACAAGUUGUGAUAGACAUAGUGAGUGACAAAAUGGUAACUGAGUUCCCAAUUAUGAUGAAGAAUAGGCGAGCUAGUCUUGUUGUCCGUGGAGUAAAAAGAAGGCCAAAAUCAGGGACAUAUGGUGAAGAAAAUGCCUUGACCAUUCUAAAAAGAGUGAAUGAAAGGUAAAUUUUCACUCUCAAAAUGUCUUACUUGGUUGAAGAUAAAUUUUGUGUUUGGAUUUGUAAAGGCUUUAUAUCCUAUUUUAUCUUUGUAAUUUUAAGACAAAUAUAGUGUUAUGCAUCGUUUUUUUUUCAUGAUCUGGGUGUGUAUGUGCUAACAUAACUCUUGCAUGACUGACCUUGUGUAUGCCAUUCGGUAUGCAUAUUGACUUUAUUGAAAAACUAACCUUUUGCCAAAUUAUGGAAAAAAAAGGGGAAUAAUGAGAUAAAGUGGUGUAUCUAUUGUGUCCAAAUAAAUGUGAUGAUUGUUUAUUACUGCCCAAAAUGGGAAAAGUGCUAAUGUUGUGCUCCUUGCUAGAGCAUCGGGAAGGACAUCUGGUUCUGGUCCUUGUAUUUGUGAAAACAUAUCUGUAUGUGUUAGUAGUAAUCAUUGAUAUAAAUUACUAUCUAAUUUUGUAUGCAUGACAAACAUGUGAAUGAUUGGAUACUGAUAUAUGUUAGUUAGUAGGAUUGUAUACUACUAGCUAUGUGAUACUAGAUUCAUGCAUGACUAAGUCUGUGAAUGAUUGAAUGAAUAUCUAUUUGGUUUAGAAAAACUGAAUGGACUAUGUGUAAGCAUCAAAAUGUUAAUGAUAUGUCUUCUGCUAUUGCUGGUGCUUAACUCUAAUACAUGGAAGUUGUUUCUAAUAAAAUGCUCUGAAGAUCCAGCACAUCUACUGGAUGUCACUUGUUUCUCAUGGAAGAAAUGAUAUUUAUCUUGAAGAGUUGUAUUUCCAUAAUUUAUCAAAGGGGGAGAUUGUUGUUCCUAUUGCAUUGCCCAUUUGGAUUGACUGCAUUUUAGCAAAACAACAACUUGGAGAAUUCUCAAAGUAAUCAAGAUUGGUAUAGCUUGCUAAAGCUAUAUGAAGUAGCAGAUAAGACUCAUGUUGGGCACGAUGCUGCAGCAUGUUGGUAUGACAUUUGGGACUUUUGCAACAGACGUCGGAAUGCUUCAUUUUGGAGUAUGUUAUGCAUAAUAUUUGUUAAAGAUUUUAUUAUUAUUGAUUUAACAAUAUGAU